Long non-coding RNA from Cheilinus undulatus (humphead wrasse), 1874 nucleotides. RefSeq lists it as uncharacterized. NCBI's taxonomy places the organism in Eukaryota, Metazoa, Chordata, Actinopteri, Labriformes, Labridae. The transcript is spliced from 3 exons. The record is from RefSeq and is a predicted model, not a curated record.
UAAGGAGAGGUUGUUAAGAGGUCGCUGUGCUGGGUACCUGAGAGGAGUCUGUGAGAGAGACUACACACAUGCACAACAGAUAAUUUGAAAAAUCUACAGAGCACGACUUCAAUUUACUGGUGCAGUUAAAGGGCUCGGUGGGGGUCUGACAGGCUCCUGGGGAUGUCCAUGCUUGAGGGUCCGGGCCCUUGGCAGCCCUGGUGAGGACAGCUUCCCGAGCCGGGGGCCACUUGGGCUCUCCAUGCCUGGAAUGGAUGGUAGCAGAGGGGGUAUAAAAACACAGGAGGCACAGAUAGCUAGAGUGCACUUCCUUCUGGUUGGCCAUCGGCGCUGUUGGACUGAAGGUUAUAUGUGAGCGGAGGCGCACACAUCAUCUACAGUGGUAAUGAGGGUGUGACCUUCCAUGUUUCAUUUCAAAAUCAAUACCCUCACUUACACGCUAACUCCAUGCUCUGCCCAUUAGACAAAAGGUGAGUCAAAGACAGGGAGACAUGGCAAAGCUCUUUUUUAGCUCCCUUCCAUCUGUAUGAACUAAAAGGUUAGCUGCUAAGUUCUUUAUGCCUCAGAUGAGGGCUAAUUCUAAUUUGUAGCCUGCUAGCUAGGCUAGAUUAUGCACCGUAAUCCACCAGUCCAUGAUAAACUUCAUCUCACCAUCCACCACAGUAAACCUAUAUGUCAGAUCUGGGUUCUCUGUGUAUCUAAACCCCCAUUUCCUACCAGCAUGGGACAAACUAAUGGAUGAAGGCUGACAAUCGCUAAUUAUGCUAAGUGGGACUGAUUAGGAUCCAACAUACUUUCUCUUAGCACACAUUCCUGUCACUCUGCUAAUGAAUUACAACAGCACACAAAGGGUCACUCAGCGGGGGUCAUGCAGUGUCUGUUUACACGCCACGCUAUUCACUGUACACUGAGUGGCCAUGGCUCAUCCAUCACAGUUAAUAUGGUAAACUCACAGUUAGCAGGAGGUUGUUGAUAGCUUUAAGAUUUGACUGGAUGUUGGAGCUUUUGUUGUUGUUUUGUCUUUAUAAUUAACAAUCCCUGGCCUGAAUUUUGUGCUUUUUUUCUGACAUUUUUUAACUUUUGAUUUUGAUCUUUUAUUGUUUUCAUUGUUAUGGUUUCAGUCUCUAAAAACUGUAUCUUGUCUUUUUUUGCUCUUAUUUUCAGUCUUUUUGUUCCCAUGUGAAGCACUUUGGGCCACAAGGCUGUUUAAAUUUCAAACGUCUAACCAGAAUUGUGAUCAUGUUUAACCACCUUAUUAUCUCUAUGCAUACAAACUUACAUGCAACAAUGUGUGCACCUUUUGUCGGGGUAUAUACAGAAAAUCUGACAUUGGAUUCCAUACUUCUUAAAACACUCUUCAUACAUUUAAAACCUAUCACAUCUUCAGUUUCUAACCAGUUGCAUAAACAACACAGCUGUGUUUUUGUGCUGAAAGUAAGACAAGAUAAUGACAAAAAGAAAAUGCCAGUAGUAUUUUUUUUUUAGGAUUUUGAAAUUAUAUUAAGAGAAAUAAGAACCAGAUACCAUAAGGUAGCUGAAUGGAAGGUCUUAUUUUCUCAAUUAGGAGGCUUAAAUGUAGCUAACCUAAAAUCUGGAAGUAUACAUUUACAAGCACUGCCUUUAAAACUAAAAAAAUAAAAGCCUUCAAUUAGGUAUUUUAAAAAAGCAAAGUAUAAUUGCAAAUUUCAGGAUACUUCUAAUCAUUAAUUCUAAUUUUAAAGCAUUGAAGUGUCAGUGAUCACUUUACUGACAAUAACUCACAAUAAUUGAGUUGUAUUCCUUUCAAUAAUUCAUCUCCAUCUCUAGAAAAACUAACCUACUUCCUCUUUGAUGAAUAGGCUAUAAAAAUGAAAUAAAAAUCAAAGAUAAAAAAG